RNAcentral lists this non-coding RNA (168 nucleotides) under Sarcophilus harrisii (Tasmanian devil). RNAcentral's name for it is "Archaeal large subunit ribosomal RNA". It matches the Rfam family "Archaeal large subunit ribosomal RNA", at positions 1884 to 2089 of the family's 2987-position model. Lineage: Eukaryota; Metazoa; Chordata; Mammalia; Dasyuromorphia; Dasyuridae. The record is from Rfam by way of RNAcentral.
AACCCUGCCUGUUUACCAAAAACAUCACUUCUAGCAUUUAGCAGUAUUAGGAGGCACUGCCUGCCCGGUGAAUUGUGACUUUAAGGGCCCCGGUAUCCUGACUGUGCAAAGGUAGCAUAAUCACUUGUCUCUUAAUUGGGGACUAGUAUGAAUGGUACAAUGAGGGUU